Molecule: ribosomal RNA, 460 nt
Filed under: uncultured bacterium
Lineage: Bacteria
Description: partial 16S ribosomal RNA
Rfam family: Bacterial small subunit ribosomal RNA
Source: RNAcentral
CCUACGGGUGGCAGCAGUGAGGAAUAUUGGUCAAUGGCCGGAAGGCUGAACCAGCCAUGCCGCGUGAAGGUCAGUGCCCUUUGGGCGUUAAACUUCUUUUGUGCGGGAGCAAUAAUGGUCACGUGUGGCCCGACGAGAGUACCGUACGAAUAAGCAUCGGCUAACUCCGUGCCAGCAGCCGCGGUAAUACGGGGGAUGCAAGCGUUAUCCGGAUUUAUUGGGUUUAAAGGGUGCGUAGGCUGUGAGGUAAGUCAGCGGUGAAAUGCCCCCGCUCAACGGGGUGAAGGGCCGUUGAUACUGGCUUGCUUGAGUGCGGAUGAGGUGGGAGGAAUGUGUGGUGUAGCGGUGAAAUGCAUAGAUAUCACGCAGAACACCGAUUGCGAAGGCAUCUCACGAAUCCGCGAUUGACGCUGAUGCACGAAAGCGUGGGUAUCAAACAGGAUUAGAUACCCGGGUAGUC